Molecule: long non-coding RNA, 348 nt
Organism: Hyaena hyaena (striped hyena)
Lineage: Eukaryota; Metazoa; Chordata; Mammalia; Carnivora; Hyaenidae
Exons: 3
Source: RefSeq, a predicted model, not a curated record
UGCCGUGCCGGUGAUGCGCUCAAUGCCCCAGCCUGGUUAAUUGAGUCCUAACACCGGAACCUGUGGUGUGGCAGGAUCUCCGAGCCCGGGUAGAGACGGGGGACCGUCAGGGGUGCCGGCCGCGGAAGGGCGUGCCCACGGGCCGUGCGGGGACACACCUCCGCGGAGUGAGAGGAAAACCGUUGAUCUUACAAAUGGGGAGAUGUACCCGCGAAGCCCGAAGAAAACAUGAUUUCUGCUCGGAGCCAGGAUGGCCUGCAGAAGAGGUGAGUUGGGCAGCUUGCCUGUGCCAAGGCUGACGUCAUCAAUGGGCGAGUCACAGAGAAUUAUGACAUCUGAAUGCCUGCG